AAUAUGGUUCAUAGUUCGUCCUUAGUGACGGACACACCUUGUGGGAGUCUUAAAUGAAUAAUCGUGCGGGACGCUGUGCUUUUUAGAUAUUUCAACCUAGCGAUUAGGAACACGGUGGCUGAAUGAGAAAGGUAGCGAUCUGACCAUACUAGCUGGCGCUGUGACGAGUCCUUGCUGAUGGGUGUGAGCCGCCUGGAUGUGUUUUACAGAAGGCUUCUUCUCACCAAGCUCUUCAUCCAAGGUUGGGGAAAGCCAGAGGAUCUGAAGAGAAUAUUUGAGUUCCGGAAGAUUAUUGGCGACAGAGAGAAGUGUAAGGAUUUGGUUCCUAAGGAUUACCCGGUUUUCAUUGACAAGAUAGAGGAGCAGAAUGACUGCAGGAUUCUAAAUGGUCAUUUUACAUCCCCGCUGGAACAUUUCCUGCCUGGCAUCUUACCGGCUGAGUCAGUGAAGGCCAGGUUUCAGUUCAUUCUACCAAGGAAGUGGAAGAAGUUUAAGCCAGUAUGCAUUCACCUCGCCGGAACUGGGGAUCAUUUCUUCUGGAGAAGGCGGACCCUGAUGGCCAAACCGAUGAUGAAGGAGACGGGAAUGGCAUCGCUGCUCCUGGAAAAUCCAUAUUAUGGAUACAGAAAACCUAAAGAGCAAAUUCGCUCCAGUCUGCGUAACGUGUCCGACCUGUUCGUCAUGGGCGGGGCCCUCAUCCUGGAGUCGGCCGCCCUGCUGCACUGGCUGGAGAGGGAGGGCUACUGGCCCCUGGGCAUGACGGGCAUCUCCAUGGGGGGGCACAUGGCGUCUUUAGCAGUGACAAACUGGCCAAAGCCUAUACCACUGGUGCCCUGUCUGUCCUGGUCCACGGCGUCUGGUGUUUUUACUACGGGAGUCCUGAGUAAGGCAGUGAACUGGAGGGAGCUGGAGAAGCAGUAUGCCACAGACACAGUGUAUGAAGAGGAAAUCACCAGGAUGCUGGAGUACUGUGGGAUGGAUUCAUUUAGGAUGGGGCAGGACUUUGUGAAGAACUCACCCAGCAGCGUCGAUACCCUCUCCGGCCUGGACCUGCCAGCUGACUUCCUGAGCAUGCCCACACCUCAGGCCUCUGCCCUCAGUGCCGAGGGCAGGGGGCGCUCCGGCGGACAGGCCUCAUGGCCAGAGCGGGGAUGCGGCGGCGGGCUAGAUCCCAUGCUGUCUGCCGUGAGCAGCAGCCGGCCUCACCUGGACAUGCUGACCGCCAGGAACGUGGCCGAGCAGAGGCAGCCACACCGCUCCCUACAGCACGAGUCCCUGGGCUUCAUGAAGGGCGUCAUGGACGAGUGUACACACAUUGCCAACUUCUCAGUGCCAGUGGAUCCCAGCCUGGUCAUCGUGGUCCAGGCCAAGGAGGACGCCUACAUCCCCCGCUCGGGCGUGCGCAGCCUCCAGGAGAUCUGGCCAGGCUGUGAGGUACGCUAUCUGAAUGGUGGACAUAUCAGCGCCUACCUCUUCAAGCAAGGGCUCUUCAGGCAGGCUAUUUAUCAUGCCUAUGACAGGUUUAUUCAGAAGUAUUCCAAGUAUUCCAUCUUCUAGCCAUGGACCGGAACAUUCUAAACGAUCACAUGUCUUUGAAGGUCUGGAAGCCGCGAUCUCCAGGAGGUCUAACCACCAUCAACGGAAGAGGGAGCGUUGUGAAAGGCUGAAUAUGUGGGUUUUUACUUGUGCCAUUAAGUAACACUCUGGUGCGAUGCUGUGUAGCCUGGGCUGUGAUUCGCUGAGACCAAACAGCAUCUCAAGCCUCCAUCAUAACUUGAAUGAGCAAAAGGGGGAGUGGCCCAGUAGCUCGGUGGGAAGCGCUGUUGCCUCACACCUCUUGAGAGUGCAAGUCUCACCCCUGUGGUGUGUGUGUGUGGGGGGGGGGGUUUGCAUCAUGUUCUCCCCAUGUUGCUGGGGGUGUCCUCCUUUAGUAAAAAGACAUGCAGGUUAAUUGGCAUAUUUGGUACCCAGUGUGUGUGUGUGCGUGCGUGCGUGCGUAUAUAUGUGUACCCUCUGGUGCACGUGCAACCCAUCAAGGGUGGACCCUAGCCUUUUGCGCCCACCCCUUCAUCACCCUGACAAGUAUUCGGGUAAAAGACGACAAGGAAUUUCAACAUGGCGUCCUUCUUCAUGACUAUAACCCUGGACCUUCAUGUAUUGUGCAUUUUUGGGGUGUCACCAGACACCGUGUGACACAAGGACCUGUAGGGACAUGUGUACUUUAAGAGAAUGGGCAUUUGUGCUUAUGAAAUCUUUAAAUAAAUGAUUAGAUUUUA
Molecule: non-coding RNA, 2276 nt
Organism: Paramormyrops kingsleyae
Lineage: Eukaryota; Metazoa; Chordata; Actinopteri; Osteoglossiformes; Mormyridae
Source: RefSeq, a predicted model, not a curated record